This is a long non-coding RNA of Strigops habroptila (Kakapo), 955 nucleotides long. RefSeq lists it as uncharacterized. The transcript is spliced from 4 exons. Lineage: Eukaryota; Metazoa; Chordata; Aves; Psittaciformes; Psittacidae. The record is from RefSeq and is a predicted model, not a curated record.
GUGCUGGCCAGGGUUGCUGCGCGUUUGCAAAGCUUUAUGCAGCCUUCUGGAUGAUGACGUGUUAAGCGCUCAGUUUGCGAUAACCAAUUUCCUCCUGAAAUUAUACCAAAAAUCUGCUUGAUUUAAACUGUUUCCCAAGCAUUUUGGUUAAUAACAAAAGACAGUCCCCUCCAAGAGAAUCUAACUUGAGGAAGCCAUGAAAUUUAAUUCAUUUCUGCAACUUAAAUAUAUAAUCAGUGACAUAUGGUAAUACUAAAUACAGGGGGAAAUGUCAUUGUUUAAGUCAAAUUUCUGCAUUCAGUCAAAAUCCGUAGUUGUAACAUCAAACUGUAGUUUCCAUUGUACAGGAAAUAAAGCAUCAUUUUUUCAAAGAAAAUAGACAUGCAAUUGCAUGCCUAUUACAUUGCUUGUAUAGCUUUAUUUAUAGCUUCUCCAUGUUGCUAAAAGGGCUAACAGAAGGGAAACCGUGGAGGCAGAAGAAAUGAGGCAACACCCAGAUGGUGGUAGAAAGGACAAAGGAGAUGUCUGCCCUGUGAAUGUACACUCUCCCUGCAGUUGUUUCUGGGCAACAAACUACUGUGCCUGGGCUAUGGACCCUGUGCCUUCCUCCUCACUUCUGCAGGCAUUCCAGCACUGAAGCAGCGCUGAGAAAUUGUCGUGCCAUGGUACAGGGCAAGAACUUGAGACUCUGAAAAGAAAGUAUAUUUUGGUUCGCCUUGCCCUUGCUGCGGCCAGAUGCAAAGAGGGGUACAAUUGCUUUUCCGAGGCCACUGGAUCGGGGCUGGGUCCAGGUGUUGGUCUGGAAAGCUGAGACAGAUAAGUGACUUCGCUGCAUCCGGAGUUUGCAUUCGAAGCAGAGACUAAUUCUGAGGAACAUUUCAGAAUAAACACAUUUGUCUUCUAAAGAAGUUUGUUUGCAAGGGGAAAAUAUAUAUAUAAAGGAGGUUAAAUGGGA